AUAUGAAAAAUUAAAUGUUUUUGUAAGGAAGGUUUCCCAAUGUAUGCCAUAAACAACAGAAUGUGUAGAAUAACUAGGUACACAGCAGCAAAGAGCUUCAUGAUAAAAAUAGAGGAGCUCUCCAGUUUGAGUAACCGGAACCAAGAUUAAACUCAACCAGUUUGGCAGUCUGUCCAAUCCGGUUGUAGUGCUUCAGCUACCCUAUCAAUCUUCAAAGAUAAUCAAUUCCAGUGUAAUGGAUUUUAAGUAACAUCCAGCAUAACCCCAACCCCAACACCCCCCCCCCCCCAAAAA
Long non-coding RNA from Telopea speciosissima, 294 nucleotides. RefSeq lists it as uncharacterized. The record is from RefSeq and is a predicted model, not a curated record. The transcript is spliced from 2 exons. Lineage: Eukaryota; Viridiplantae; Streptophyta; Magnoliopsida; Proteales; Proteaceae.